UUUCUACUCCCUUCGUCCGAAAAUACUUGUCAUCAAAAUGGAUAAACAUAGAUGUAACUAAAACUAAAAUAUGUCUAGAUACAUUUCCUUUUAUCCAUUUUGAUGACAAGUAUUUCCGGACGGAGGGAGUAUUUG
This is a non-coding RNA of Triticum aestivum (bread wheat), 135 nucleotides long. The record is from Rfam. NCBI's taxonomy places the organism in Eukaryota, Viridiplantae, Streptophyta, Magnoliopsida, Poales, Poaceae.